RNAcentral lists this transfer RNA (122 nucleotides) under Aeropyrum pernix. RNAcentral's name for it is "tRNA-Ser". It matches the Rfam family "tRNA". From Rfam's summary of the family: Transfer RNA (tRNA) molecules are approximately 80 nucleotides in length. Their secondary structure includes four short double-helical elements and three loops (D, anti-codon, and T loops). The record is from RNAcentral. Lineage: Archaea; Thermoproteati; Thermoproteota; Thermoprotei; Acidilobales; Acidilobaceae.
GCCGGGGUGGCCGAGCGGCCCAAGGCGGCGGGCUCGAGGUCGGCAACAGGGGUUUCCGCGCCGCCGCACGAGAGACCCGUUGCCCCGCGAGGGGCGCGCGGGUUCGAAUCCCGCCCCCGGCG